CAGCCGCCGCGGUAAUACGAAGGGGGCUAGCGUUGUUCGGAUUUACUGGGCGUAAAGCGCACGUAGGCGGAUUUUUAAGUCAGGGGUGAAAUCCCAAGGCUCAACCUUGGAACUGCCUUUGAUACUGGGGAUCUUGAGUCCGGGAGAGGUGAGUGGAACUGCGAGUGUAGAGGUGAAAUUCGUAGAUAUUCGCAAGAACACCAGUGGCGAAGGCGGCUCACUGGCCCGGAACUGACGCUGAGGUGCGAAAGCGUGGGGAGCAAACAGGAUUAGAUACCCCGGUAGUCCCUGUCUCUUAUAA
RNAcentral lists this ribosomal RNA (301 nucleotides) under uncultured bacterium. RNAcentral's name for it is "partial 16S ribosomal RNA". It matches the Rfam family "Bacterial small subunit ribosomal RNA", at positions 509 to 809 of the family's 1533-position model. The record is from RNAcentral.